RNAcentral lists this ribosomal RNA (351 nucleotides) under uncultured bacterium. RNAcentral's name for it is "bacterial SSU rRNA". It matches the Rfam family "Bacterial small subunit ribosomal RNA", at positions 324 to 692 of the family's 1533-position model. The record is from RNAcentral.
ACACGGCCCAAACUCCUACGGGAGGCAGCAGUGGGGAAUAUUGGACAAUGGGCGCAAGCCUGAUCCAGCAAUGCCGCGCGGGUGAAGAAGGUUUUCGGAUUGUAAAGCCCUUUUGGCGGGGACGAUGAUGACGGUACCCGCAGAAUAAGCCCCGGCUAACUUCGUGCCAGCAGCCGCGGUAAUACGAAGGGGGCUAGCGUUGCUCGGAAUGACUGGGCGUAAAGGGCGCGUAGGCGGCGGCCAAAGUCAGGCGUGAAAUUCCUGGGCUCAACCUGGGGGCUGCGUUUGAUACUUGGUUGCUUGAGUGGGGAAGAGGGUCGUGGAAUUCCCAGUGUAGAGGUGAAAUUCGUA